AUGCUCUCAGUGACCCUCCUCCUGCUUGGAAUGCCCUUCACUCUGAGAGGAAGCGGAGCGCAGUCAGUGGCCCAGCCUGACCGCCACGUUGCCGUCUGGGAAGGGGACCCUCUGCUGCUGAGGUGCAACUAUACCUAUAGCGGAGCACCUUAUCUCUUUUGGUACGUCCAGUAUCCUGGCCAAGGCCCCCAGUUUCUCCUCAGAUACAUGUCCGGUGCUCCCGUGGUCACAGGCAUCAGAGACUUCAAGGCUGAAUUUAAGAAGAGUGAAACCUCAUUCCACCUGGAGAAAUCGUCAGCCCACUGGAGUGACACAGCCACGUACUACUGUGCUGUGAGUGGCACAGUGCCUGGGGCUGCAGGGGGAGCUGAGCACAAACCUCCCGAGACUUCCUGUGACUGCAGGGCUCCGCUGAUCUGUUUGUAGCAAGGUCUCUCAAGUGAAAAGUGAGCAGGAAUGAAGAGCAGAGACAUGGGAUCUGUUGGACUCCUGAAAAGAAAUAGGGACAUCUGCAAUUCUUUCUUGCACUACUGGGGUCAUGUCAGACAACAUGUAGGAGAGACACUGUCGUGGAUGUUCUCCUUUUGGAUAAAAAUACUGAAUUCUACAGGGUUGGCAUUCUGAUUUAGUGUAACCAGUGCUGAAAUUUUGAUCUUUCUGUUCUCACCUCUAAAAUGCUCCUUCUACUACCUUUUGCUUUCAGCUCAUAGCAACUCCAUUCAUUCAGAGUUAUUUUUGGCUUUUAUUAUUUUUUUCUCUAACUUGUCACAUUGCACCCAUCAAGCAAUCCAGUUUUCUUACUUUAAA
Heterocephalus glaber (naked mole-rat) is the source of this 807-nucleotide non-coding RNA. Lineage: Eukaryota; Metazoa; Chordata; Mammalia; Rodentia; Bathyergidae. The record is from the annotation of a RefSeq genome assembly.